GACGAACGCUGGCGGCGUGCUUAACACAUGCAAGUCGAGCGGUAAGGCCCUUUCGGGGGUACACGAGCGGCGAACGGGUGAGUAACACGUGGGUGACCUGCCCUCAGCUCUGGGAUAAGCCCGGGAAACUGGGUCUAAUACCGGAUACGACCUUCUGUUGCAUGACAGUUGGUGGAAAGUUUUUCGGCUGGGGGAUGGGCCCGCGGCCUAUCAGCUUGUUGGUGGGGGUGAUGGCCUACCAAGGCGACGACGGGUAGCCGGCCUGAGAGGGCGACCGGCCACACUGGGACUGAGACACGGCCCAGACUCCUACGGGAGGCAGCAGUGGGGAAUAUUGCGCAAUGGGCGGAAGCCUGACGCAGCGACGCCGCGUGGGGGAUGACGGCCU
RNAcentral lists this ribosomal RNA (388 nucleotides) under uncultured bacterium. RNAcentral's name for it is "bacterial SSU rRNA". It matches the Rfam family "Bacterial small subunit ribosomal RNA", at positions 28 to 417 of the family's 1533-position model. The record is from RNAcentral.